This 484-nucleotide ribosomal RNA is filed under the name uncultured bacterium. RNAcentral's name for it is "partial 16S ribosomal RNA". It matches the Rfam family "Bacterial small subunit ribosomal RNA", at positions 899 to 1397 of the family's 1533-position model. The record is from RNAcentral.
ACUCAAAGGAAUUGACGGGGACCCGCACAAGCGGUGGAUCAUGUUCUUUAAUUCGAUGGUAAGCGAAGAACCUUACCAGGGUUUGACAUCCUUGGAAUUUUGGCGAAAGCCGAGAGUGCCUUAGGGAGCCAAGUGACAGGUGCUGCAUGGCCGUCGUCAGCUCGUGUCGUGAGAUGUUAGGUUAAGUCCUUCAACGAGCGCAACCCUUAUGAUUAGUUGGAUUUUUCUAAUCAGACUGCCCCGGUAACGGGGAGGAAGGAGGGGAUGAUGUCAGGUCAGUAUUGCCCUUACACCCUGGGCUAGAAACGUGAUACAAUGGCUGGUACAAAGGGCAGCGAAGUCGCGAGACGGAGCAAAUCCCAUCAAAGCCAGUCUCAGUUCGGAUUGUAGGCUGAAACUCGCCUACAUGAAGCUGGAAUCGCUAGUAAUCGCAGGUCAGCACACUGCGGUGAAUACGUUCCCGGGUCUUGUACACACCGCCCGU